Molecule: small nucleolar RNA, 108 nt
Organism: Sorghum bicolor (sorghum)
Lineage: Eukaryota; Viridiplantae; Streptophyta; Magnoliopsida; Poales; Poaceae
Rfam family: Plant small nucleolar RNA R71
About the family: R71 is a member of the C/D box family of snoRNAs containing the C (UGAUGA) and D (CUGA) box motifs.
Source: Rfam
AUUCCAUGAUGGGGACACUCUAGGAUAUAGUCUUGGUAGCGCUCCCAUGCUUCUAGAACGGAUUCAUCAUGUUGUUGCUGAAAACUUGUAAUCUUCCCACUGUUGGGU